AUUGAACGCUGGCGGCAUGCCUUACACAUGCAAGUCGAACGGUAACGGGCCUUCGGGUGCCGACGAGUGGCGAACGGGUGAGGAAUACAACGGAACGUGCCCGCUCGCUGGGGAUAACGAAGCAAAAGCUUUACUCAUACCUCAUACGAGCUACGGAUGAAAACAGGGUGGCGCAAAGGCUUGCGCGGGCCUAGCGGUCGAUGGUAGAUUAGUUAGUUGGUGGGUUAAAAGCUUACCAAGCCGACGAUCUAUAGCUGAUCUGAGAGGAUGAUCAGCCACACUGGGACUGAGACACGGCCCAGACUCCUACGGGAGGCAGCAGUGGGGAAUUUUGGACAAUGGGCGAAAGCCUGACCGAGCCAUGCCGCGUGCAGGAUGAAGGCCUUCGGGUUGUAAACUGCUUUUGUACGGAACGAAAAGCCUUCUUUUAAUACAGGAGGGUCAUGACGGUACCUUAACAAUAAGCACCGGCUAACUACGUG
RNAcentral lists this ribosomal RNA (482 nucleotides) under uncultured bacterium. Its description in RNAcentral is "partial 16S ribosomal RNA". It matches the Rfam family "Bacterial small subunit ribosomal RNA", at positions 30 to 507 of the family's 1533-position model. The record is from RNAcentral.